This 348-nucleotide unclassified non-coding RNA is filed under the name fungal sp. RNAcentral's name for it is "partial internal transcribed spacer region". The stretch from base 1 to 46 matches the Rfam family "Eukaryotic small subunit ribosomal RNA", at positions 1786 to 1831 of the family's 1831-position model. The record is from RNAcentral. Lineage: Eukaryota; Fungi.
AAGUCGUAACAAGGUUUCCGUAGGUGAACCUGCGGAGGGAUCAUUACCACGUUUCCAACGUACCAAACAAACCGCGAACCUGUAAACCCCCCCCCACCUAUGGAACCAUCGGUAUCUUUAGCCCCUUGAAGGGUUACUAGGCAACUAGUGACGCGGGCUUUAAUGCUAGGAGAUGAAAUAAGCUCUAAGGUGCAUCCAUAGAUUAUAAAAUGUCCCUUCAUAACCUUUAUCUUUAAUGAUAUCACCCUACCAAUUGACUAACCCUUGACUUGCUACCGGCAACGGUACAAGUUGAAUUGAGUUUAUCAUAACUAAGUACAACUCUUAGCAACGGAUAUCUCGGUUCUC